This 381-nucleotide long non-coding RNA is filed under the name Ricinus communis (castor bean). RNAcentral describes it as "long non-coding RNA (RCOM_LNC003523)". The record is from RNAcentral. Lineage: Eukaryota; Viridiplantae; Streptophyta; Magnoliopsida; Malpighiales; Euphorbiaceae.
AGCGCCUUCCUCCCUUCCCGCCGCUCUGCAGCAGCUCUCCUUCCCCUUUCCUCCUUUCCGCCGACGUUAGCCGAAGGUAGGGAGUUGUCUUCGCCGUUCGGCCUCUUGCCGGCUUGUUUUCGGCGAUCUGGCGCCGGAAUCGGACUCCCCACCCCCGAAAACCCUUGAAGCAACCCUCCUCCGUCGGAAAUCCUUGCCGGCAGCCUUGAAAGGUGUCGCGUGAGCAGCGACUUUCCGGCCCCGAUCCGCCGCCUUCCGGCCACUUUCCGGCCAAAACUCUUGUCCUUCCGGACUCUCCGCAACUUGAGCUUCGCGUAGGCGCUUCCGGAUUUGAAUUCCGACACUGUUGGCGGGACCGGCUUCCGGACCCCAGUGUUUUCU